RNAcentral lists this long non-coding RNA (230 nucleotides) under Prunus persica (peach). Its description in RNAcentral is "long non-coding RNA (PPER_LNC008174)". The record is from RNAcentral. Lineage: Eukaryota; Viridiplantae; Streptophyta; Magnoliopsida; Rosales; Rosaceae.
AGGAAGUGUCGGAAUUGGCUUGUUUCCAGUGGGUAAUAGGGAGUGCUUGAAGAAUAUCUCAUUUGCUCACCCACAUUGGAGAACUCCAAGUAAUGAGUUUGGACUUUGGUGCUCCCAAGUAGCUGACGGUUGUGUAGAGAAAUUUUCCAGCCAUCGGAAAACUCCAAACCACCGGUCAAUAAUCAUACCUACAGAUCAAGCACAGCAAGGGGAGUAACUUUGUUCCUUUG